Molecule: ribosomal RNA, 445 nt
Filed under: uncultured bacterium
Lineage: Bacteria
Description: partial 16S ribosomal RNA
Rfam family: Bacterial small subunit ribosomal RNA
Source: RNAcentral
GUGAGGAAUAUUGGACAAUGGGCGCAAGCCUGAUCCAGCCAUGCCGCGUGCAGGAAGACGCAUCUAUGGUGUGUAAACUGCUUUUGUACGGGAAGAAACACUCCCUCGUGAGGGAGCUUGACGGUACCGUAAGAAUAAGGAUCGGCUAACUCCGUGCCAGCAGCCGCGGUAAUACGGAGGAUCCAAGCGUUAUCCGGAAUCACUGGGUUUAAAGGGUCCGUAGGCGGUUUAAUAAGUCAGUGGUGAAAGCCCAUCGCUCAACGAUGGAACGGCCAUUGAUACUGUUAGACUUGAAUUACAAGGAAGUAACUAGAAUAUGUAGUGUAGCGGCGAAAUGCUUAGAUAUUACAUGGAAUACCAAUUGCGAAGGCAGGUUACUACUUGUGGAUUGACGCUGAUGGACGAAAGCGUGGGGAGCGAACAGGAUUAGAUACCCCGGUAGUCC